RNAcentral lists this ribosomal RNA (457 nucleotides) under uncultured Comamonadaceae bacterium. RNAcentral describes it as "bacterial SSU rRNA". It matches the Rfam family "Bacterial small subunit ribosomal RNA", at positions 342 to 791 of the family's 1533-position model. The record is from RNAcentral. Lineage: Bacteria; Pseudomonadati; Pseudomonadota; Betaproteobacteria; Burkholderiales; Comamonadaceae.
CGGGUUGCAGCAGUGGGGAAUUUUGGACAAUGGGCGCAAGCCUGAUCCAGCAAUGCCGCGUGCAGGAUGAAGGCCUUCGGGUUGUAAACUGCUUUUGUACGGAACGAAACGGUUCGCCUUAAUACGGUGGGCUAAUGACGGUACCGUAAGAAUAAGCACCGGCUAACUACGUGCCAGCAGCCGCGGUAAUACGUAGGGUGCGAGCGUUAAUCGGAAUUACUGGGCGUAAAGCGUGCGCAGGCGGUUAUAUAAGACAGAUGUGAAAUCCCCGGGCUCAACCUGGGACCUGCAUUUGUGACUGUAUAGCUAGAGUACGGUAGAGGGGGAUGGAAUUCCGCGUGUAGCAGUGAAAUGCGUAGAUAUGCGGAGGAACACCGAUGGCGAAGGCAAUCCCCUGGACCUGUACUGACGCUCAUGCACGAAAGCGUGGGGAGCAAACAGGAUUAGAUACCCGCGU